AUCCAAGUAAAAAAGCUUUUCAUGAUCCUCAUAGUCAUGAGCUAGAUAAAGAGGCAGAAAGCAGGCUGCUGCAACAUGGCUGAACUGUUCACAUUGUAGCUCUUUAGCAGAUACCCAUAACCGUGUAUAUUUCUGAUUUCAGAGCAAUUGGCUCCCAGAAAAGAUCAGCCAUGUCAAUUCCAUAGUAGACAAGUAGGACCCUAUAAGUGAGG
Molecule: unclassified non-coding RNA, 212 nt
Filed under: Hevea brasiliensis (rubber tree)
Lineage: Eukaryota; Viridiplantae; Streptophyta; Magnoliopsida; Malpighiales; Euphorbiaceae
Source: RNAcentral